RNAcentral lists this long non-coding RNA (2253 nucleotides) under Pogona vitticeps (central bearded dragon). RNAcentral describes it as "lncRNA (ENSPVIG00000011782.1)". The record is from RNAcentral. Lineage: Eukaryota; Metazoa; Chordata; Lepidosauria; Squamata; Agamidae.
UGGGAAAAGAAAAAAAAAAAGGAGGCGGCGACUACGACGAACUGCCGCCGGGCGUGCGUCACGCGCGUGCGCCCCAGUGACCCGGAUGUACCGGGAGGCGCAGCCUGAGCCGCUCCUGCUUCGGCUGCCUCCUGAGUUGUGCGGCAGGCGAGGGCGGUUGCGGCGGCGCCCAUCAAAGCUCUGCACAUGCGUACUCGCUUCCUUCCCCCCCCAACCAGCCAGCCUCUUUUGACUGAAAGGGGAAGAAAACCACGUGUUUCGCGGUGCCUCGUCUAGGUGGAAAAAAGGACACGGGCGGGCGAGUGUAGAAAGGAAGUUUAAUGGCAUUUGCUUUUUCUCUCUGCGGUUUAAUGUUUAUUUUUUAAAAAAGGCGUACGUUUAUUUGCACCCUCGCCGGGGAAACGGAGGCGAGAAGGAAAUCCUGCCUGCCUGCCUGCCUCCCCGCGAAGGCAAGCGAAGCUUCCGGGUUGGCCCGUCCCGACGUCACUUGCUACAGGUUUGCAACGCGGAGGAGGCGGCGGCGGCGGCGAGCAUCAGCCGGAGAGAGAUAGCUAUAAAAGGAAGAGACUCGUAAAAGGAGGAGGAGAAAGACGAGUCGCGCACCUCCGAGUGCCUCGCUCUUCAAGCGCUUUCUGGCACAGGAAGGAUCGUUGCACACGUUCAACCGAUCUCCCGGGUCAGGGGCUGCGACUCCGAGUUGGCGUUGCCCCCCAAGGGGCACAAACGGAGAAGAUGCCCUAAGCGGGAGGAGGAUCUAUUGCUGAUUUUUUUUUUUUAAGGAAAAUGAAGGCUAAUGCCUCUCGAGGCUCUGAUCAUCCUCCCUUACUGUGUGGCUUCUUCUUUUAGGAAAAUGUAGCUUUCACAGGAAUUUUUUCCCCUUUUUUUCUUGCUGUGGGUUUGGGCUCACGCCUUGGCACGGUGGCCCUCCUGCCCGGUGCCCAGGUUUGUACACAAGGCUUCCCCAAUCCGGGGGGAAAAGAGGUUUUUAAAAGGGUAUUUUUAGAUUAGGAAGCUGAAGCCUUGCCCGCAUGAGUACCCUCCAGAGGUAAACAUCCUUGCACUAUAGUUCUAAGAGGAUGAUGAUGAGUGAUAGAAUGUUAAGACAGGGUGAGAUGACUUUUUCAAACUGAUGCAUGCGGGGGGCUUCUGCAAGGAUCCGAAUUCAUUAAUAACUCACUUUAUUGUGUGUUUUACCGAUAGGGAAGGCUGCUGGGGGAGUUUUCCAUCUGCAGGUGCCAAGAGGACUUGGCCAGCAGACAGGUAGUCCUCCUUUAAAAGUGAAGAGGAGCAAGGCAUCCGGAGCAUCUCUGCCUCAGGAGGCAAAAUGUUUUGAUCUGAUCUUAACUUCCCCUAACAGUGAAUGAGCUGGAAACAUUUCUUUUUAGUUUUCCCUUCCGUUUUCUAUCUUCAUUCUAUUUUAUGUAAUUAGGUAAGACAGUGACAUGGUAUUUCCUCACCUGUAAAUUGGAAGUGCUCCCUGGAAGGACAGAUCCUGAAGCUGAGGCUCCAAUACUUUGGCCAUCUCGUGAGAAGAGAAGACUCCCUGGAAAAGACCCUGAUGUUGGGAAAGUGUGAAGGCAAGAGGAGAAGGGGACGACAGAGGAUGAGAUAAUUGGACAGUGUCAUCAAAGUGACCAACAUGAAUUUGACCAGACUCCAGGAGGCAGUGGAAGACAGGAGGGCCUGGCGUGCUCUGGUCCAUGGGGGUCACGAAGAGUCGGACGACUAAACAACAAGUUGGAAGUGAUGCAGUGCCUUAUUAUUAACACCAGCCAGGUCCAUCAGCUAAUUCUGUUUCAUAUGUAGAUUUGUGAUUGACUGUUUGGGGUAGUGGAUGGAGUGAUGGACUAGGGCAGUGGUUCUUAACCUUUGUUACUCGGAUGUUUUUCGACUGCAACUAUUAUUAACACCAGCCAGGUCCAUCAGCUAAUUCUGUUUCAUAUGUAGAUUUGUGAUUGACUGUGUUUGGGACAGUGGAUAGAGUGAUGGACUAGGGCACUCGAGAAGAGGGUUUGAAUCCCCACUUAGCCAUGGAAGCUCACUGGGGGAGUGGAAGAGAUCUAGUAAAAGCGUAAAUAUCUCACUUACGUUGAAAACACUGCUAUAUAAUUUGGUUUUGACUUGACAGCAUGUAACCCACACACACUUCUCUGAAAUUGUCUUUUUCUACAUGAGGUUUAUUUUUUUGUUUGUUUAACCGACCAGAUAGGUGGGAUAUAAAUUAAAUAAAUAAAAUAAAUAAAUAGAAACCCA